GAUAAGCACGGUCUGAAUGCUCUGCUGAACUGGGACCUUGCUGUGGUGGAGAUGAGGGGUGACUCCAUGGAGCUGAAGGAGAUGUCUCGUGAAAAAGGCUCUGGUCUGAGGUACAGCAGGGGGAAGAGCAAACAGCGAAGAACUUUACUGGUUGAAACCUGUGGGCAUCUGUGUCAGCUCCUCCUUCACCAGCACUUCUGCUAUAACCCAAAGAAAAACAGCAGCAGCGGAGAGGCGUAGCAGCAAGUGUGUCAGUUUGGCACAGAAGGUACUUUCCUUGGACAUGUGACCAGAUGAUGCAGUUGUCCAGAUGAAAUUCAGAAAACAAAAAACAAUGCAUGAUAAGAAACUGAAAGAAGCCAGGAAUGUGUUGUUUUAUGAAUGCAGAACAUCAGCUAUAAAAUCACUGAGACUGACAAAUUGUUUUUAAUCAUGUAAAACCACCAUCCAAAAAUUUAAUAUGAGCUUUGGGCAGCAAAGGAUUGUUUUGUAUUUUACAGGUAGAUCUCAUCACUCAAGGAUUUCAAAGGCUCUGCAAAACCCAGGUUUAGCUCUUCCUUUUUGUAAUUACAACUCUUCUCAGUUAUGUAGUCAUUUACUGGGCAUUGUUAAAACUCUGGUCUGUACUCUCAAUUGCUCUAAGGCCUGACCUAAUCUUACAGUUCUGCAGAGUCACAGAAGCAGCAUACAUUUGUUCCCAAUUCUGUCAAAAUCAGGUUCCAAACAGGACACCAUGCCUAUGUGACAAGAAGAAGGUCAUCCCCUGCUGC
Molecule: long non-coding RNA, 770 nt
Organism: Cygnus atratus (black swan)
Lineage: Eukaryota; Metazoa; Chordata; Aves; Anseriformes; Anatidae
Exons: 3
Source: RefSeq, a predicted model, not a curated record